RNAcentral lists this small nuclear RNA (117 nucleotides) under Saimiri boliviensis boliviensis (Bolivian squirrel monkey). RNAcentral's name for it is "U2 spliceosomal RNA (ENSSBOG00000009121.1)". It matches the Rfam family "U2 spliceosomal RNA". From Rfam's summary of the family: U2 is a small nuclear RNA (snRNA) component of the spliceosome (involved in pre-mRNA splicing). Complementary binding between U2 snRNA (in an area lying towards the 5' end but 3' to hairpin I) and the branchpoint sequence (BPS) of the intron results the bulging out of an unpaired adenosine, on the BPS, which initiates a nucleophilic attack at the intronic 5' splice site, thus starting the first of two transesterification reactions that mediate splicing. The record is from RNAcentral. Lineage: Eukaryota; Metazoa; Chordata; Mammalia; Primates; Cebidae.
AUCACUUCUCAGCCUUUUGGCUAAGAUCAAGUGUAGUAUCUGUUCUUAUUAUAAUAUUGCAUAUUCAACCAAUAGUCGAUACAAGGUUGGUUGUUAUCUGACAUGAACCAACACUGA